GAUCAUGGCUCAGGAUGAACGCUAGCGGCAGGCUUAACACAUGCAAGUCGAGGGGCAGCAUGAAGGUUAGCAAUAACCUUUGAUGGCGACCGGCGCAAGGGUGCGUAACGCGUGAGCAACUUGCCCGUUUCAGGGGGAUAACCGGUGGAAACGCCGACUAAUACCCCAUAGUAUCAUUUUAAGGCAUCUUUUAAUGAUUAAAGAAUUUCGGAAACGGAUAGGCUCGCGUGACAUUAGCUAGAUGGCGGGGUAACGGCCCACCAUGGCGACGAUGUCUAGGGGUUCUGAGAGGAAGGUCCCCCACACUGGAACUGAGACACGGUCCAGACUCCUACGGGAGGCAGCAGUGAGGAAUAUUGGUCAAUGGUCUGACGACUGAACCAGCCAUGCCGCGUGAAGGUCACGGCCCUAUGGGUCUUAAACUUCUUUUGUUAGGGAGCAAUAAGUUCUACGUGUAGGAUGAUGAGAGUACCUAACGAAUAAGCAUCGGCUAACUCCGUG
Molecule: ribosomal RNA, 501 nt
Filed under: uncultured bacterium
Lineage: Bacteria
Description: bacterial SSU rRNA
Rfam family: Bacterial small subunit ribosomal RNA
Source: RNAcentral